GUACCUGUCUACCAAGGUGAAGACGGGUAACCGAGGAUAAGGGUUCGGCUCGGAGAAGGGGGGGGAAAAAUGGCCACUACGUCUAACGAUGGCAGCAGGCGCGCAAAUUACCCACUCUCAACAUGAGAGGUAGUGACGAGAAAUAACGAGACCGAUCUCUUAUGAGGCCGGUCAUCGGAAUGGGUACAAUUUAAACCCUUUAACGAGUAUCUAUGAGAGGGCAAGUCUGGUGCCAGCAGCCGCGGUAAUUCCAGCUCUCAAAAUGCAUAGAAUAAUUGCUGCGGUUAAAAAGUUCGUAGUACGAUCUCCUCCAGCUGGCCGUUCCACCCACUGGUGUGCACUGGUUCGGUGGCUUUUCUGCCGGUCUUUCCCCGGCGUUGGCCUUCACCGGUCGGCGUCGGUGGGCUGGCGAGUUUACUUUGAACAAAUCAGAGUGCUUCAAACAGGCGUUUCGCUUGAAUGUUCGUGCAUGGAAUAAUAGAAGAGGAUUUCGGUCCGAUUUUAUUGGUUUUGCUGACCGAGAUAAUGGUUAACAGAGACAAACGGGGCCAUUCGUAUUGCUACGUGAGAGGUGAAAUUCUUGGACCGUAGCAAGACGGACUACAGCGAAAGCAUUUGGCAAGAAUGUCUUCA
RNAcentral lists this ribosomal RNA (633 nucleotides) under Globodera rostochiensis. RNAcentral describes it as "SSU rRNA". It matches the Rfam family "Eukaryotic small subunit ribosomal RNA", at positions 333 to 972 of the family's 1831-position model. The record is from RNAcentral. Lineage: Eukaryota; Metazoa; Nematoda; Chromadorea; Rhabditida; Heteroderidae.